GUCUACAGCCAUGCUACCCUGAACAAGUCUGAUUCCGUCUGAUCUCAGAAGCUAAGCAAGGUUGGGUCUGGUUAGUACUUGGAUGGGAGACUACCUAGGAUGACUAGGCAAUAUAGGUG
Ribosomal RNA from Pteropus vampyrus (large flying fox), 119 nucleotides. NCBI's taxonomy places the organism in Eukaryota, Metazoa, Chordata, Mammalia, Chiroptera, Pteropodidae. The record is from Ensembl.